CAAAUCUUGUAGAACCCGGUGGUCUACAAAAAUAUAAAGCUUUCUAAUUAUUAACACUUCAAUACUGUCAGUUGCUUCUUUUUUCUCUAUAGCAGAGCUCAACCUAGCUCUUUCUAAUCAGUGGAAACACUGCAUUCUAGAAAAAAAAUAAAAUUAAAAAAAUCAACCCUUAUUUCCAUUAGCCGAGUUAUUAGAGAGGCUGGAGCCAAUGCACAUCUGUGUGAUAUACUGACAAUGUGAAAUGUGGAAAAAAAAGAAAAGAAAAAAAAAAAGACUACAUUUCACAUUUGAGCUCUGAGUCACACACAAGAUACAGCAAAUCCCAAAUCCUUGCCUAAGAAAUCACUGAUAGCUCAGGGCUUUGCCUGAAAAAGCUGUAGCACUAAGUUUAAUUUGCAUACUCUUUCCUUUGCCAUAUUCACAACUCUGUAUUUUGCUGUAUCCGAGUAUCCAAAGCUUAUAUGUGCAUGGAAAUCUGCCUGCCCUUUGAUAAUGCUAUGGCUGCUGAUCUUCGGGUAGAGGAAGCAUUUGCUCGCAUGUCCUCAGGCACUAACAGGCCGGCAAUUCCCUUUGUCUCUGAUGGCCGGGUGGAAAGAUAUAGAAUCAGUUCUUAUGCUGCAGAGCUGGACUGGCUGCCAUUGGACUACCUUCAGAUAGUCCCCUGGACAUCUAAGCAGAUCAUGUUCCCUGCAAAAAGAGUAGUACUUGUACAUGAACGCAUCUAGAUCAUGCCGAUGCAUGUAUCAACAUCAAUCUAAACUGACAAACAACUUCAUAUUUAAUAGUCUUGUGAUUACAUUAUACAAGUGCUCUAACAUCUAAGCCAAGCUUGAGAAAGAGGCAGCAUUUUUCUUGUCCAGGAAGAGAAAGAAGCUGCCCUACAGCACCUUCAUCAAAGGAAAAUGACUUUGAUCCUUCAGCUGCAUUAAGGGAGGGCUGUAAUACAGUUGUAGACAUCAUCCUUGUUGAUGAAUGAAGGGAUACUAUAGUAAGACAUCAGGAUACAUGGAGGUAGAGCCAUUUUUUUCCCUUAGGUUUUUAUAAACUGUAUAAGGUCCAAGCAUGAAUCACACUCAGAAAUGAGCUAGGUCAAUCAGCUCUUGAAAAAACUAAAGUGCUCAAUCACCCCUCAUCCCCCUAAAGAUAAAAGAUAAAUUAUACAAUGCACUCAGACCCAGAAAGAAGAAAGAGUUAAUCAAAGCUCAGGUCAGGGAUCAAAGUAGUGGUGCAAAGGCUUAGGGCAAAGAAGAAAUGGAAACAUCAGAGAAAAAAAAAUGAUGCAGGAAAAGCGAUAGAGAGAAGAGAGGUGUAGACUGAGGAGGGCAAUAUGUGACAGCAUUGAAACACAUGGAAAAGGGCAAAGGUGUUAGGCAAAUAGACUGGAAUCCCGGCAGAAGCUACCUGGAAUUGGAUAGGAAGGAAGAAAAUUGUGAACUGCAGCUUGAUCAGGUCAUGUAAUUAACUACCUGGAUCAAAUUCUCCCCUGAUUUAUUCUCCAGGAUCAAAUAAUUGGCAAUACUUUGGGAAAGAUGAACAUUAUUGUAAUUUGGUCAUUUGUCUUUUUAAACAGUUCUAGCUAACUUUUCAGGACUAAGGUUCGACUGACGAAUUUGUCUGAAAACAUUUCUUUAAGUUAUUAAUUUUUUGCUACAUGAUAUAUAGGUACCUAGAAUCUGGACACAUAGAAUCAAAUGGAUUUCUCACCAAGGACAAAGGCCUGUUCUUACAAAACUGGCUGGAGCAAUUUCAGAAAUUACUGCUCCACCCUUUCCAUAUUAUUCAUAAAUGAAAAGUCACCAUCCAAUAAGCUGUCGAAGGAACAGUUUAAGCUCAGCAAUUUUUCAUUGCAUCAGUAUGGAUCAGAUAUAUACUCUUAAUGGCAGUUACUGUGUCUUAGUGGGCCAGAAUGGCAACUUCCAGCUCAUAGCUGGUAAGUAAAAACUAGUAGAACGUUUUCUGAUCCAUGAGAACAUCUUAAUUUAUGUUUCCAUGUUUCAGUUUCAAUGUUGUAUGUUAUUUUCCACAUAGCACUGCUCAUUCAAGACCCAGUAAGUGUCAGUGCUGCCAAGGAUCCCAACUUGGGAAGGAAUGGUAGCAACUACUGGGGAAAAAAAAAAAAAAAGAGUUUUUUUAAAAAUCAUGAACUCAUAGAAUAAUUCAGGUUGGACCUCAGGAGGUCAUCUAGCCAACUGCCAACUCUGACCCGGUUUCGUCUGCUUGCCUGAAGCACCCAGCUUUCUCUCAAGCAUGGCUGUAGGAGCAGACUUUUAUUAGUGUACAUCUUGAACAGAUGUGAUGGAUUUUGUUGUUUUUUCUUUUAAUUUUUUCUUGAAUUUCAUACCUUCAAGAAUAGACAGUGCUUAAUGAUUAUGAAUGUAUUAUGAUCAUUCUCAACAUAUGCUAGUCUGUAUUGCUUGAUAAACCACAGAUAAAUAAAGUGCAGGUAUUUUGUAUUAGUAGCUGCUUU
Molecule: long non-coding RNA, 2467 nt
Filed under: Anser cygnoides (Swan goose)
Lineage: Eukaryota; Metazoa; Chordata; Aves; Anseriformes; Anatidae
Description: lncRNA (ENSACDG00005013973.1)
Source: RNAcentral